AUUGAACGCUGGCGGCAUGCUUUACACAUGCAAGUCGAACGGUAGCAGGCCGCAAGGUGCUGACGAGUGGCGCACGGGUGAGUAAUGCAUCGGAACGUGCCCAGUCGUGGGGGAUAACUACUCGAAAGAGUAGCUAAUACCGCAUACGAUCUAUGGAUGAAAGCGGGGGACCGUAAGGCCUCGCGCGAUUGGAGCGGCCGAUGUCAGAUUAGGUAGUUGGUGGGGUAAAGGCUCACCAAGCCAACGAUCUGUAGCUGGUCUGAGAGGACGACCAGCCACACUGGGACUGAGACACGGCCCAGACUCCUACGGGAGGCAGCAGUGGGGAAUUUUGGACAAUGGGCGCAAGCCUGAUCCAGCAAUGCCGCGUGCAGGAAGAAGGCCUUCGGGUUGUAAACUGCUUUUGUACGGAACGAAACGGCUCUGGUUAAUACCCGGGGCUAAUGACGGUACCGUAAGAAUAAGCACCGGCUAACUACGUG
This 482-nucleotide ribosomal RNA is filed under the name uncultured bacterium. RNAcentral describes it as "partial 16S ribosomal RNA". It matches the Rfam family "Bacterial small subunit ribosomal RNA", at positions 30 to 507 of the family's 1533-position model. The record is from RNAcentral.